CUUGCUAUAGCGCAGUGGGUAACGCGCUAGCCUUAUGUGCUCGAGGUCACAAGUUCAAUCCCCCGCUAAGA
Non-coding RNA from Oesophagostomum dentatum (nodular worm), 71 nucleotides. Lineage: Eukaryota; Metazoa; Nematoda; Chromadorea; Rhabditida; Strongylidae. The record is from the annotation of a GenBank genome assembly.